This 253-nucleotide ribosomal RNA is filed under the name uncultured bacterium. RNAcentral describes it as "partial 16S ribosomal RNA". It matches the Rfam family "Bacterial small subunit ribosomal RNA", at positions 524 to 776 of the family's 1533-position model. The record is from RNAcentral.
UACGUAGGGCGCAAGCGUUGUCCGGAAUUAUUGGGCGUAAAGAGCUCGUAGGCGGUCUGUCGCGUCCGUUGUGAAAACUCGAGGCUCAACCUCGGGCUUGCAGUGGAUACGGGCAGACUAGAGUGCGGUAGGGGAGACUGGAAUUCCUGGUGUAGCGGUGAAAUGCGCAGAUAUCAGGAGGAACACCGAUGGCGAAGGCAGGUCUCUGGGCCGAUACUGACGCUGAGGAGCGAAAGCGUGGGGAGCGAACAGG